AUGCAGCCCGGCCUGAGUGGAGCUCUUUUUCUUUUUCUAUAAAAAAGAAAAAAGCGGGAACGGAGGACGGAUAGAGC
RNAcentral lists this unclassified non-coding RNA (77 nucleotides) under Epilithonimonas zeae. RNAcentral's name for it is "Chryseobacterium zeae Flavo-1 RNA". The record is from RNAcentral. Lineage: Bacteria; Pseudomonadati; Bacteroidota; Flavobacteriia; Flavobacteriales; Weeksellaceae.